GGGCGUUCCCUUCGGGGUACNGAAUGACAGGNUGGUGCAUGGUUGUCGUCAGCUCGUGUCGUGAGAUGUUGGGUUAAGUCCCGCAACGAGCGCAACCCUUAUUAUUAGUUGCCAGCAUUUAGUUGGGCACUCUAGUGAGACUGCCGGUGAUAAACCGGAGGAAGGUGGGGACGACGUCAAAUCAUCAUGCCCCUUAUGAGCUGGGCUACACACGUGCUACAAUGGAUGGUACAACGAGUCGCGAAACCGCGAGGUCAAGCUAAUCUCUUAAAGCCAUUCUCAGUUCGGAUUGCAGGCUGCAACUCGCCUGCAUGAAGUUGGAAUCACUAGUAAUCGUGGAUCAGCAUGCCACGGUGAAUACGUUCCCGGGCCUUGUACNGNNCCGA
Molecule: ribosomal RNA, 386 nt
Filed under: Apilactobacillus kunkeei
Lineage: Bacteria; Bacillati; Bacillota; Bacilli; Lactobacillales; Lactobacillaceae
Description: bacterial SSU rRNA
Rfam family: Bacterial small subunit ribosomal RNA
Source: RNAcentral